GAAGACAGGCCAUAAAAAAGAAUGGGCUGCAGGCAGUAAAAUAUUGAUGGAGAGAAACUGAAAACAUCAGAGCAUCGAAACUCUUUGCACUGCUCCAGACGAUCUGAGCCCUGACAACCUCCUGACUUGGGAAAUCCAGAUUUCAAUACAGCAUUACUAGGAAAUCGAGUCCUCAAACCAGGAGUCAGAAACUGUGGUUUCAUAUUCUGAAAACAAUCAACUACAUAAGCCACUUGGGAAUCAUGCCAGACAAAAGAUGUGGGCUAGAUGGAUCUACGACCUGACCUUAUGGGGGCCGACUCAAGUUUUCAUGGAACCACAGAACAUUAGUGCUGACAUGAGCUGCCCCAACAACCUCACCAUAAAGAUGAAGUCACAAAGAAGUUAAGCAGUUGGCCCAAGGUUAUGCAGCUGAUCAAGGACUGAAAUGAAAUGUAGACCUGUGCUCUUUUUAAUUUCUCAUCUUUCUGGUGCCUCAGAAGAGCACAGGCUUUUAAAAACAUUUAUUCAAGUAAGACAUGCUCUAAAUUCCAACAAUGACUUCUCCAGCCUGUAUUGGGUGGGAUAUAAUCAGUCAUGACUUUCUAGAUCUAAAGUCAGUGAACUGAACCCACCCAGCCAAAACCAUUUAUAUCAGCUUCUUUCUGCAGCUCAGAAUAUUAUAUGUGCUCCCGUGUGCUGUCUGUUCUGCAGCCCUGAAAAUGUACCCUGAGACCUCCUCAUGUGAAGGAAACAGACCCCAGCUGGCCAGCCCCACUGUGACUGCAAUAUGGACUUCAGCUGCUCCACUAUAGGGUUGUGUUCAGUGAACUGCAUUUUUAAAAAAUGUUAAUAUCUACAUGGCUCUCACCCAACAGCCUUAAGAAUACCAGCUGUACCGUGCUUUCGCCUCUACUUUGACAGCCUUAAGAACAGCUCCCGAAGAAUAGAACAUUCUUCAGGGGAGGGCUGUUGGUUUUGCAGAUAUUUUAGGAGGAGGAGAAGAUGAAAGAGAUUUCAUGUUGAAAUGUCAUAUAUGGAAAGGGAUGGGACAUGACAGAAGAAGAAAUCUGGUAUGCUUUCAAUGCCUUUCAUGUACCAAGCACUGGGUUGGGCCAGUACUCAUGCCUUUGCAUUUGGUCCUCACAACGCUGAGAUAAGCAGAAUAACCACAGUUUUAUAGAUGAGAAAACUGAGGCUUAGAAAGAUUAAGAGACUUGCCCAAAGCCAAACAAGGAAUUUGCUGCAUAGCUGGUAUAGUAGUUUGCAAUGGCUGUUGGC
Molecule: long non-coding RNA, 1260 nt
Organism: Lutra lutra (Eurasian river otter)
Lineage: Eukaryota; Metazoa; Chordata; Mammalia; Carnivora; Mustelidae
Exons: 3
Source: RefSeq, a predicted model, not a curated record